UACGGAGGAUGCGAGCGUUAUCCGGAUUUAUUGGGUUUAAAGGGCGCGUAGGCGGAGUGCCAAGUCAGCGGUAAAAAUUCGGGGCUCAACCCCGUCGUGCCGUUGAAACUGGCGCCCUUGAGUGGGCGAGAAGUAUGCGGAAUGCGUGGUGUAGCGGUGAAAUGCAUAGAUAUCACGCAGAACCCCGAUUGCGAAGGCAGCAUACCGGCGCCCGACUGACGCUGAAGCACGAAAGCGUGGGUAUCGAACAGG
Molecule: ribosomal RNA, 252 nt
Filed under: uncultured bacterium
Lineage: Bacteria
Description: partial 16S ribosomal RNA
Rfam family: Bacterial small subunit ribosomal RNA
Source: RNAcentral